GACCGGGUUCACCACGGGGGCCAGCUGUGCCAUCUCUUCCUCUUAGUCCCGGUGGACCUUCAAUUCCAGGAUCACCUACAAAAACAAUGGAAAUGAAGCAUUCAUUUCAUAAUACUAUAAGGUGUAAAUACAAUGACCCCUAACAAACCUGAAAUAUAGUACUGCUCCAUCCUUGGGAACUCCUAGUCAAUGGGCUUGUUGCCUGGUUCCAUGGAAGUGUCACCGACAACCAAUAAGGUGCAACAAACAUUAGUGGAACCACAUGUGAAAACCACAUUAAAAUGGUGGCAAGACUAACCUGGAAUGAGCCAACAUGAACUGCAGCUAUGAACUGGAUCACUUACACAAAGAUAUGAGUCCAAAGAGCAAUCCCAGAAGGAAGAGUAGACCCAGGAUCAGACCGAGUGUCCACAUCCACCAUUUACAGCAAGAACCACAUGGUCCACAGGCGCUGUCAGUUCCACCGUCUCUUCUCUCCACAUAGUGAUCUGCUCCAGCCUUCAAGCCAUCAACCCGAUGAAUUUCUGUGAAGAACAGUAUAUUAUGUAUCUAUCCAAUGUCAAAUUCUGUGGUAUAUGCUGACAACCCAGGAGAAUGAGAUACUAACAUUGUGCCACACAGUAGUAAAGACCAAUGGGGAUACCAUGCAUAGGUAUAUAGGCUCCUAAAUAGUCUUAUGGAAUUUGCCAAUAUUGGGGUCUGUCCACAAUAAUAUUUGAUAGAAUGAUAAUAAACUCCAUUUCA
Long non-coding RNA from Hyla sarda, 744 nucleotides. RefSeq lists it as uncharacterized. The record is from RefSeq and is a predicted model, not a curated record. NCBI's taxonomy places the organism in Eukaryota, Metazoa, Chordata, Amphibia, Anura, Hylidae. The transcript is spliced from 4 exons.